RNAcentral lists this ribosomal RNA (460 nucleotides) under uncultured bacterium. RNAcentral's name for it is "partial 16S ribosomal RNA". It matches the Rfam family "Bacterial small subunit ribosomal RNA", at positions 338 to 795 of the family's 1533-position model. The record is from RNAcentral.
CCUACGGGGUGCAGCAGUGAGGAAUAUUGGUCAAUGGCCGGAAGGCUGAACCAGCCAUGCCGCGUGAAGGUCAGUGCCCUAUGGGCGUUAAACUUCUUUUGUGCGGGAGCAAUAAUGGUCACGUGUGGCCAGACGAGAGUACCGUACGAAUAAGCAUCGGCUAACUCCGUGCCAGCAGCCGCGGUAAUACGGGGGAUGCAAGCGUUAUCCGGAUUUAUUGGGUUUAAAGGGUGCGUAGGCUGGUAGGUAAGUCAGCGGUGAAAUGCCCCCGCUCAACGGGGUGAAGUGCCAUUGAUACUGCCUUGCUGGAAUGCGGAUGCCGUGGGAGGAAUGUGUGGUGUAGCGGUGAAAGGCAUAGAUAUCACACAGAACACCGAUUGCGAAGGCAUCUCACGAAUCCGCGAUUGACGCUGAUGCACGAAAGCGUGGGUAUCAAACAGGAUUAGAUACCCUUGUAGUC